RNAcentral lists this small RNA (16 nucleotides) under Arabidopsis thaliana (thale cress). RNAcentral describes it as "ATSL052350". Lineage: Eukaryota; Viridiplantae; Streptophyta; Magnoliopsida; Brassicales; Brassicaceae. The record is from RNAcentral.
UGUUUUACUCUUUUGU